This 253-nucleotide ribosomal RNA is filed under the name uncultured bacterium. Its description in RNAcentral is "partial 16S ribosomal RNA". It matches the Rfam family "Bacterial small subunit ribosomal RNA", at positions 524 to 776 of the family's 1533-position model. The record is from RNAcentral.
UACAGAGGUCUCAAGCGUUGUUCGGAAUCACUGGGCGUAAAGGGUGCGUAGGCGGCCUGGUAAGUCAGAGGUGAAAUCCCGGAGCUCAACUUCGGAAUUGCCUCCGAUACUGCCAUGCUUGAGGACUGGAGAGGAGAUUGGAAUUCACAGUGGAGCAGUGAAAUGCGUAGAUAUUGUGAGGAACACUAGUGGCGAAGGCGAAUCUCUGGACAGUUCCUGACGCUGAGGCACGAAGGCCAGGGGAGCAAACGGG